RNAcentral lists this ribosomal RNA (253 nucleotides) under uncultured bacterium. RNAcentral describes it as "partial 16S ribosomal RNA". It matches the Rfam family "Bacterial small subunit ribosomal RNA", at positions 524 to 776 of the family's 1533-position model. The record is from RNAcentral.
UACGAAGGGUGCAAGCGUUACUCGGAAUUACUGGGCGUAAAGCGUGCGUAGGUGGUUCGUUAAGUCUGAUGUGAAAGCCCUGGGCUCAACCUGGGAAUGGCAUUGGAAACUGGCGACCUAGAGUGCGGUAGAGGGCAGUGGAAUUCCCGGUGUAGCAGUGAAAUGCGUGGAGAUCGGGAGGAACAUCUGUGGCGAAGGCGACUGCCUGGACCAGCACUGACACUGAGGCACGAAAGCGUGGGGAGCAAACAGG